UUGCUGUUGUUAAACGAAGACAGACGAAUAGACAAAUGAUAAUGAAGCUGUUCGUGGUCAUUGCUCUUGUAGCCGCAGUGUCGUGUGCGCCCCAAAACCCGCAGGAUGUCCAAAUCCUGCGCUAUGACGUCAACAACGGUGGACUAGACUCAUAUAGUUUUGCAUGGGAAUUAUCAGAUGGAUCUAAACAUGAGGAGCAG
This is a long non-coding RNA of Leptidea sinapis, 200 nucleotides long. RefSeq lists it as uncharacterized. The transcript has 3 exons. Lineage: Eukaryota; Metazoa; Arthropoda; Insecta; Lepidoptera; Pieridae. The record is from RefSeq and is a predicted model, not a curated record.